AGAGGAGAAGGUCCACUUCCUACUGCGAAGCGGGCAAACUGCUCAAGGCUCAGCUCUGGAAUAAGGAACUCACGGAGGAGAGGACCCCCGUUCAGGUGACAUUCUGGUAUACUGGGUCCCUGCAGAAAAGAAAAUGCCACCAUGGCUUGUGCUUCUCCCCUGUUGCUGAGAUCUGUGGCUGAAAGGAGAUGGAGGUUCUUCUGUUCCUGGAACCCAAGGCGAUUGCAAGUUCUAGAUCAUGGCAGAGAUGCCCAGAUGCUCUGGGGAGUCUGGAACCAUCAAAAACCUGCAGCAAGAUGCUUUAGACAAGCCUGGGGACUGGAGCAAGCUGGUACAAGCUUCCAGGAACUAUACCACAGUCAUCUCCCACAACCUGGAGACCAAGAAGACCUGAGUGAAGCUGCCUUCAGGGUCCAAGAAGGUGAAUUCCUCAGCCAACAGAGCUGUUGUUAGUGUCUUGGUUGCUAAGGGCAAAAUUGACUAGAGAUGGACAACUGGCUAACACAGAGCCACAAGGCAAGUUUGUGAAAUCACCUUGGGUCCUGGAACUCCACCCUGUGCCCCCUCUAUACUAAGGUACCAUGAUUCUUAACCUCUGAAGAUUUAAUGAUGUAAAGGGCAGGGCUGAGUCUGCAAACAGAGACUCCAUUUGGACAUAGGAACAAUUUACAGGUGCCAAAAGGUUUCUUAGUGACUGAUGGAGGUAACAUUGUCAAAGUUAGAUCACAGAAGAUCACAGCCAGAAGGAGGUUCUCCCCACUCUAGACAUCAGCACUGAAUUCUUACUCACUUGAGUUUAUGGGCUGGGAAGUCCUUUAUUGCUUUAUUAUAGCCCACCUGGUUCCUAGCUCAGUUUUCACUUAUCAAUAAGCUUCAGUUUCCCAAUCUAUCAACUAUUUAACAAAAGAGUCCACAAAGUCAGUGAGUUCCUUGUGCUACAUACCCUAGGAAGAUGGAGAUACCCUGGGAAGAUGGAGAUANNNNNNNNNNNNNNNNNNACCCUGGGAAGAUGGAGAUACCCUGGGAAGAUGGAGAUACCCUGGGAAGAUGGAGAUACCCUGGGAAGAAGGAGAUACACUGGGAAGAAGGAGUUACCCUGGAAAGAUAGAGAUGCCCUGGGAAGAUGGAGAAAGAUGCAGCUGAUCCUCAUGAGACUAUUGGAGGUAUCUUCAGACACUAACUAUCAAUUAUUUCAUAGGUAAUUUCAUAGGUAAUUCAUUGCAGGUUGAAAAACUUUCAUUGAGCUCUUACUGUAUGCCAGGGCUGCAAGAGAAGAUAGAGAAAUGAAUAAGAUAUACUGGCCCAAGUGGACAUUGGCUGUUGACUAAUGUCUCAUAUCUCAUCAUGACCUUCCAUUCCAGUACAAGAACUUUCUGGCCUCAACUUAGAGUGAACACGUUUAAUUUGUAAAUAUGUUUAUGAUGAUUUUUAGCGAUAAAUUCUCCUACAAAAAAUAAAACCAAGAG
RNAcentral lists this long non-coding RNA (1466 nucleotides) under Mus caroli (Ryukyu mouse). RNAcentral's name for it is "lncRNA (MGP_CAROLIEiJ_G0003228.1)". Lineage: Eukaryota; Metazoa; Chordata; Mammalia; Rodentia; Muridae. The record is from RNAcentral.